CGUGUAGGCGGAAAGGUCAGUGUCUUGUGAAAUCCCUCGGCUCAACCGAGGAAUUGCAGGGCAUACUUCCUUUCUUGAGGCAAGUAGGGGUGCAUGGAACUCUGGGUGGAGCGGUGAAAUGCGUAGAUAUCCAGAGGAACGCCAGUGGUGAAAACGGUGCACUGGGCUUGUCCUGACGCUGAGAUGCGAAAGCGUGGGGAGCGAACAGGAUUAGAUACCCUGGUAGUCC
This 229-nucleotide ribosomal RNA is filed under the name uncultured bacterium. RNAcentral's name for it is "partial 16S ribosomal RNA". It matches the Rfam family "Bacterial small subunit ribosomal RNA", at positions 568 to 796 of the family's 1533-position model. The record is from RNAcentral.